Molecule: ribosomal RNA, 253 nt
Filed under: uncultured bacterium
Lineage: Bacteria
Description: partial 16S ribosomal RNA
Rfam family: Bacterial small subunit ribosomal RNA
Source: RNAcentral
UACGUAGGUGGCAAGCGUUGUCCGGAUUUAUUGGGUUUAAAGGGUGCGUAGGCGGCCCUGUAAGUCAGUGCUGAAAUAUCCCGGCUUAACCGGGAGGGUGGCAUUGAUACUGCGGGGCUAGAGUACAGAUGAGGUAGGCGGAAUUGACGGUGUAGCGGUGAAAUGCGUAGAUAUCUGGAGGAACACCGGUGGCGAAGGCGGCAUCCUGGACCGACAUUGACGCUGAGGCGCGAAAGCCAGGGGAGCAAACGGG